AAAUAGGGUAGCUUCCAGGAAAAUGACAUUAACUCAUAUUUUUUACCUCAACUAAACUCCCGUGUUUUCUAAACAUUCAAGGAAUAGAGAGCAUUUUUGCCCUUCCAUUUAACUUCAGUAAAUAUUAUACCCAGCCAUCCAUUUUUUUAACGUUCAUGUAACUAAAAUAAAUAUGAUGCCUGACAGAGUAAUUUAUUUAGGCUUACACAAAGAUACCACUGUAGUAUUUGGAAACUAGACAAAAUUAGAGUAGGUAAUUUCUAAUUACAGUAGUAAACUCACUCACAUAUACACACACACAAUGAAGGCACACGCAGCCUGUAGCAAAGCACUAACAGAAUUGUUUAAAAUGAGAUACCUUCCAACCUGCUUUGCUCAGCCAUAUUUAUAAAAUCAUGGACAAAUAUAAGCUGGACAAAAAAGACAAACAAGGAAAAGAUACUCAAAUUAUUUCUAAUUGAAUUAUUUUAAGGUAAAAAGUCAGAUUUUAUUUAAUCACAGCGUAAGAGCUGCCCUCCAUCCCCAUUUGGAAGAUAAGACGCAACUUAUGUCCUCAAAAGCACAAUAUUGAGUCACGUUUUCUCAUUGCUUUGCUGUGUUAAUAAUUCUCUCUGUACCUCAGUUUCUUUGCAGUAACAAGGGUCUUAUAAUAAUGACAACUUCAACGCCUGAAUAUUCCAUUUUAACACAUACGUAUUAGGUGAUGUUUGACCCACAGCAGAUGAAACUUGUCUCUAAGUAACAUGCCCCAGUAUGUUUUUUUGUUUCAAGUAAACACAUAGGGAUCAAUAUUCUCAAAAUUACAGUUUUUGACACAUUCUCAUGAUGGGAGUUUUUAAUUAUUUUAUAGGCUCACAAGGAUCUAAGGAGCCUUAGUGACACUUAGAAUAACUCCGCAACCUAGAGGUUUCUAAACUUUCUCAUUUUGCAGCAAUUUUAGUGUCUUAGUAAUAUUUACAUGGUACCCCUAGGCCAAAAGAUAUAUGUGGGUUCUGUUUGUUAAUUAGUUAGGUGUAAACAACUUAAUUUUUAUAUCCUUAAUAGUUAUAUCCUAACAACUUAGUAGCAACAUGAUUCAUUAAUAUAUAUUAACUGAAGGUAAAACAUUAUUUCUAUUUCAUUCUUAAAUUUUCACAGUGACUUACUAAGGGAAUCCAUGUUCCUGUUGGACCCAAAACAAUUUCUUAAACUUUGGAAUAAUGUUAGACAUCCCCACCCUCACUUCCCUUUCCUCACUGCCUUUUGUGUUGUACUUGCAUCACACCACAGAAACCAAUGAAAAUCAAGCUUUACAAAAAUAUGACAUAAUGAAAAGCAAUGUCACAUAAUCUAACGUUGAAACUGUGACUUGCCCCAAGCAAGUGGCCUACAAGGCUGUCUAGCCUUUGAAACACUUAGAAAUCUGGUGCUGCCCCUGUGAGUUCACUGGUAUGCUUGAGACUGACUUUUAACUUUUAUUGUAAAAAAUCAAGGUUUUUUUUAUUGUUACCAACAGAUGUUUUUGUGUUACUACAAAUGGAGCAUCAUUGUGAAAAGGCAGGACAAGUUAUUUCAUCAAAGGAAAACAACUUUCUAAAAUUUAUCCUUCUUCCUACAAAACACAGUACAGUAACAUAAAUUUGGAUGCAACACUAUAGACAACUGGCUGCUUAUCUUUCUUGCUGGCUCUGUUCUUAAAAUGGCUGGAGGAAGCAAGUGAUAAAGGAGAUGGAAACCGAAGUUCUUACCUUCUUGGAGGGAGUGGGGACAGGGCAUGAAAGAAAAAAACAAAGCUACAUGGAAAAUGCAGGUAAUUCCACCCCCAAAAACGAGGAGGGAGAAGAUGGGUUCUCUUGUCUCCAAUGUUCUCCCAUAUCCAUCUCCCCAGUUCUGGCCAAUAAAUAUCACCUAAACAGGGAGGUGAUUUCUUAAGCGUCUGAUGCUUCUUAAGAAAUCAGAAGCUUAAGAAAGAUGAUUCUGGAUUCAGAAUCAUCUCCGUUAAAACUGCAGCCUGGGUGAGGAAACACUACUUGGUGGUGCCAACCAAACAAAAACUUGAAUUUACCUAAAUUUUGCAAUCUGUUCUCAAAAUCUGUUUACCCUGCUGCAUAGAUUCAGCCUGACCAUUCAAUUAACCCACAUGCUACAAAAUUGAGCAUUUUAGAUUAACUCAUUGAGUUAUGGUGGUAAGAGGGUUAGAUUCUUUACUAAAUAUCUACUGUAUGGCAAUUCCAUACUGGCACAUGCUAAGUACUACUGGUGUGACACAGAUAAUUCAUUCUUCUAUAAUUCAAAGGAGGGAAUAUUUUUGUGGUUUCUCACAAGUAGGUAAGAACUUGAGUUUAUUGGCCAGGCAUAAUGGAUCACGUCUGAAAUCCCAGCAAUUUGGGAGGCCCAGGAAUGUGGUUCACUUGAGCUCAGGUAUAUGAAACGAGCUUGGAAAACAUGGAGAGACCCUGUCCCUCCAAAAUAGAAAAAAAUUAUCCACGUCUAGUGGCAUAUGCCUAUAGUCCCAGUACUCAACAGGCUGAGGUGAGAGGAUCCGCUUGAGUCCAGGAGACAGAGGCUGCAGUGAGCCGUGAUCACACCACUGCAUUGAAGACUGGGUGAGAGAGUGAGACUAUGUUUCAGAAAACAAAAAAAAAAGUGAAGGAAAGAAAGAAAAGAGAAGAAAACGAAAUGAAAAAGAAAAAGAACCUGAGUUUAUUUAUCCAGAGUCCUAGAGGUCCCCACCUGCUGUAUAGGGGCUUCCUUUACAAAUGUGAUAUUCCUCCUCAUUUUCACACUUAUUAUAUUUUAUAAUAGUAAUAACAAGAAGGUAAAGGUAUGUUUAAAAUGAUAAAGUUUGAGUGGGAGAGGAAGAAAAAGGAUUGACCUUCUACAGUGAUGUAACUGUAAAUAUGUAAAAGGGAGACAACUAAGAGGUGACCUUGGAAAAACCAAAUACUUUGCAUUAUACUUAGCUUUUCAAUAACUGGAAGUAAGUUACUGGCCAACAGAGUGACAUAUUUAAAACAAUCUAGGCCGCACGCGGUGGCUCAUGCUUGUAAUCCCAGCACUUUGGGAGGCCGAGGCAGGUGGAUCACGAGGUCAGGAGAUUGAGACCAUGGUGAAACCCCGUUUCUACUAAAAAAAAAUACAAAAAUUAGCCGGGCGUGGUGGCGGGUGCCUGUAGUCCCAGCUACUCGGAGAGGCUGAGGCAGGAUAAUGGCGUGAACCCGGAAGGCGGAGCUUGCAGUGGGCCAAGAUCGCGCUACUGCACUCCAGCCGGGGUGACAGAGCAAGACUCCAUCUCAAAAAAAAAAAAACAAUCUAUAUGUCAGAGGAAUCUGUUCACAGUGGUUAAUGUAUCCUCUGCUUUUAGGAAUACUUAGGCAAGGGUAAAAAGUGACAAAUGAUUUUCAUCAUUGGAGUAAGAGUUAUGGCUAAACAUAAUCUCUCAAAAUAAUCAUGUGAUAAGCCCAAUUUCAAAAAGAGGGAUGCAUGACUACAGGGGCCAAUCCAAGACCUUCAACAAAAGCACGUCUCAAGCAGAAAGCAAUCUGUAUUAUUUAUCCUGUGAUCCACAGUCUCUCUCCAUCAGGUGAUCCAAUUUAACCUUAACUUAAAGUUUAUUAUCUGUGGUGAUAUGGUUUGGCUGUGUCCCCAGCAAAACGGCAACUUCAGUUGUAUCUCCCAGAAUUCCCACGUGUUGUGGAGGGACCUGCGGGGGUGGGGGCACAAUUGAAUCACAGGGGCCAGUCUUUCUCAUGCUCUUCUCAUGAUAGUGAAUAAGUCUCAUGAGAUCUGAUGGGUUUAUCAAGAGUUUCUGCUUUUGCUUCUUCCUCAUUUUCUCUUGCUGCUACCAUGUAAGAAGAGCCUUUCGCCUCUAGCCAUGAUCUGAGAACUCCCCCCAGCCAUGUGGAACUGUAAGUCCAAUUAAACUUCUUUCUUUUGUAAAUUGCCCAGCCUUGGGUGUGUUGGUACUGGGAGUGGAGCAUUGCUGAAAAGAUACCCAUAAAUGUGGACAUUACUUUGGAACUGGGUAACAGGCAGAGGUUGGAACAGAUUGGAGGGCUCAGAAAAAGACAGGAAAAUGUGGGAAAGUUUGGAACUUUCUAUAGACUUGUUGAAUGGCUUUGGCUAAAAGGCUGAUAGCAAUAUGAACAAUAAGGUCCAGGCUGAGGUGGUCUCAGAUGGAGAUGAGGAACUUGUUGAGAACUGGAGCAUAGGUGACUCUUGUUUUGUUUUAGCAAAGAGGCUGGCAGCAUUUUGCCCCUGCCCUACAUAUUUGUGGAACUCUGAACUUGAGAGAGAUGAUUUAGGGUAUCUGGCGGAAGAAAUUUCUAAACAGCAAAGCAUUCAAGAGGUGACCUGAGUGCUGUUAAAGGCAUUCAGUUUUAUAAGGGAAGCAGAGCAUAAAAGCUUGAAAAAUUUGCAGCCUGACAAUGUGAUAGAAAAAGAAAAACCCAUUUUCUGAGGAGAAAUUCAAGCCACUAGCAGAAAUUUGCAUAAAUGAGGAGCUGAAUGUUAAUCUGUAAGACAAUGGGGAAAAUGUCUCCAGGGCAUGUCAGAGGUCUUCAUGGCAGACCCUUCCAUCACAGUCCCAGAGGCAUAGAAGAAAAUGGUUUCAUGGGUUGGGUCCAGGGUCUCUGUGCUGUGUGCAGCCUAGGGACUUGAUGUCCUGUGUCCUAGCUGCUCCAGCCAUGGCUGAAAGGAGCCAAGGUACAGCUCAGGCCCAUGGCUUCAGAGGGUGCAAGUCCCAAACCUUGGCAGUUUCCACAUGGUGUUGAGCCUGCGCAUGCAUGGAAGUCAAGAAUUGGGGCUUGGGAACCUCUACUUAGAUUUCAGAAGAUGUGUGGAAAUGCCUGGAUGCCCAGGCAGAAGUUUGCUGCAGGGGUGGGACAUUCAUGGAGAACCUAUGUUAGGGCAGUAUGGAAGGGAAAUGUGAGAUUGGAGCCCCCACACAGAGUCCCUACUGAGGGACUGCCUAGUGGAGCUGUGAGAAGAGGGCAAACAUCCUCUAGACUCCAGAAUGGUAGAUGCAACAGCUUGCAUUGUUCACCUGGAAGAGUCACAGACAAUCAAUGCCAGCCCAUGAAGGCAGCCAGGAGGGAGGCUGUACCCUGCAAAGCUACAGGGACAGAGCUGCCCAAGACUAUGGGAACCUAGGUCUUGCGUCAGUGUGACCUGGAUGUGAGACUUAGAGUGAAAGGAGAUCAUGUUGGAGUUUUAAGAUUUGACUGCCCUGCUGGAUUUCAGACUCACGUGGGGCCUCUAGCCCCUUUGGUUUUGACCAAUUUCUCCCAUUUGGAAUGGCUGUAUUUACUAAAUACCUGUACCCCCAUUGUACCUAGGAAGUCACUAGCUUGCUUUUGAUUUCACAGGCUCAUAGGCAGAAGGGACUGGCCUUGUCUCAGAUGAGACUUUGGACUGUGGACUUUAAUGCUGAAAUGAGUUAAGGCUUUGGGGGACUAUUGGGAAGGCAUGAUUUGUUUUGAAAUGUGAGGACAUGAGAUUUGGAGGGGCCAGGGGUGGAAUAAUAUGGUUUGGCUGUGUACCCAUCCAAAUCUCAACUCGAAUUGUAUCUCCCAGAAUUCCCAUGUGUUGUGAGAGGGACCCAGGGGGAGGUAAUUGAAUCAUGGGGGCAGGUCUUUCCCAUGCUAGUCUCAUGGUAGUGAAUAAAUCUCAUGAGAUCUGAUGGGUUUAUCAGGAGUUUCCACUUUUGCUUCGUCCUCAUUUUCUCUUGCUGCCACCACGUAACAAGAGCCUUUUGCCUCCAGCCACGAUUCUGAGAACUCUCCAGCCAUGUGGAAUUUUAAGUCCAGUUACACCUCUUUCUUUUGUAAAUUGCCCAGUCUUGGGUAUUUAUUUGCCAGCAAGUGAAAACAAACGAAUACAUCUGAAUAUUAUGUAUUUUCAGUCUUGGUGCUCUAAUUGCGUUUGGCAUUAAGAUUGUCCUUACCAUGCAAGUGACCUAAUACAAUAAUUGUAGUUCACAACUAUAGUCUUUCCGUAAAAUUCCACUUCUAUUUCAUAACUUUGUUCUGGUAAUGACUCUAUGACAAAUUUAUUGCUUCCUGGUUCCAAGGCUUCAGGUCCUGUCUCACUACUAAUCUUCAUGAGUCUUCCUACUUUAUGAACAAUGGCAUUCUUGGAGAUUGUAAUAGCUGCCAUCCAUGUCUGCAAGAAGAAGACAUUCUUCUAGGGGGAAAAAUUCUAUGCUGCAUUCCUAUAGAGCAGUCUUAAAACAAAAAUUACACUUUUCCACCUUCAGAAACUCACAUGGCACAAGCCUACCCAAACCCCAGAGGACAUGCAUAAGGUAUUGCUUGAACUGGUGUUCUGCUUAUGUUGGGGAAUCACUGCAGGCUUUGUCUCCAGUUCUCUGCCUCCCAGCAUAACCAUCUGCCCCAUCUCCUCCUUAUUUCCAUCCCAUUUUCUCAUACAUGGAUUUUCCCUCAUGGUUUAGAAGCUGAUAAUGCAUUUAGUCUGCCUACCCAACAUUUUGCUUUGACUUUUUCCCCUUCAAUUCUCUGUUAUUUAAGCCAUAGCUUCUCUCUCCAACCUUCACCACCAUUCAUCUACUAGUAAAUAAAAUGUCUCAGGAGUAGAUUAACUAGUUUUAUCAAUAUACUAAUGUACCACUAAUGUUGGCAUUCAGGCAACAGACAGUACUUGAAACAAUUCUAUUCACAUCAGCACCCUGCUUCUCAAGAUCACCGCCAGUGUGCCCGAGUGUUGUUCCACACACAUGCACCCACACGUUCCCAUUUUAAUAAAACUGUUAUAAUUCACUGCAAUGCGCACAUGCAGGCUAAUCUUUAUCCUCCCUGAAAUUUUUUGUCUCCUUACUUGUUUUCAAAUUUAAUGUAACUAAGCCUUGUAGAUCAUAUUCUAUCAUUUCUACCUAACAAUAUCAGCUUGCACAAAUAAUGGGCAAAAUCAUUUUGUGAGGUGAUCACAUUAAGAAGACCUAUAUUUUGGAGUUAGGGACACUGGACAUUGACAAUAGAGGUCGGGAACAUGGGCUUUGCUGUCAGGCAGGCCAGAGCUUAUACUUUAUUGCUUUCUAGUCACAGGAAUUUGUAUAAGUUUCAUACCUCAAAAUCCAGUUAUUCAUCCUUAAAAUGGAAAUAAUAAUAUUUCUCCAAAAGAUCACUAUUAGAACUAAGCGAGACAUAUUUAUGUAAUGCCACCUUGCUGGGAACACGUUAUGGGAUUAAUGAAUAGGAGCUCUUAUUUUGUUGAUAUCACUCUUAUUUGUAACUGACAAGAAGCUACAUAUCUAAUAAAAAAUAAAACCAUUGUUCCAAGUCAAUGAAAAUGAACAAUUUUACCUGUAAUAUAAUCCCAGGGUAGAACUAGAUUCUAUUGCCAAAUUCUAUUAUAACUGCAUAACCUAUUUUUCUAAAUUACUGCAGAAAGCUUCACAAUUGAAAUAAAAAUUCAAAUAAAUAUUAAGCUGUAGAGUGAUGGCUUGGGGAUAGCAAUCAGAGAAUUUUCUAAAUAUAAACCAUGAAUGUUCACGAUAUUAUUUUUUCUAUCUUAACAGAGCCAUGUAGAAGUAUAUUUUUUCAUUACAAAUAAUUCAAGAAAAGAAAACCACUGAAGAUAGAUGCAACAUUGUAUUACAUUUUACGACAGAUUCAGCUUCUUGAGAGCAGUGUCUGUUUCUUACUUUGUUGCAAAUGCACAUUCACCAAUCAGGCACUUGUUAAGAAAUAUUGUAUCUCGGCAGAGAUGCUGAAAAAAGAAAGAGAGAAGAAUGAGGUUUUUGCAGAAAGAUUGGAAGAUGAAGAGGAGAUAAGUAGAGAAAGAAAGCACCAGGAUGGAAAAAUAUGUGUCUUGCCUUCGCCAAAUGAACUUGUGAUUCAAAGCAUUGUAUGAGCAUUAGUCACGUAUGUUUGCAUAGAAAGUAACUAUUGCUGUUGUGGUGGCUUUAAAAUUCUUUGAUACUCCUCUCUUCCAAAGGUAUAACCUAAUUCUCCCUCUUCUUACUUAUGGGCUGGACUCAGUGACUCAUUUCUAGGGUACAAAAUAUGGUAGAAGUGAUGUUGCCUGACUUUCAAGACUAGGUCAUAAAAGGCAUUGUGAUAGCUGAGCAAGAUAGUGGACUUCCUUUUUACUUCUUUGAUCCUUUUCUAGGUUAAGCUAGCUGUAUUGCGGGGUUAUUAAAGCAGCCUUAUAGAGAGGCUCUUGGGGCAAGGAAUUAGUAAGGCCUCUUGCCAACAACCAACAGUAACUUUCUUGGCAUGUGAACGAGCCACCUUGCAAGUGGAUCCUUCAGCCCCAGUCAAGCUUUCAGUUAACUUCAGCCCUGUCCAAUAACUUAACUGUAACUUCACAAGAAAUCCUGAACUAGAACAACUCAGCUAAGUCACUUUUGAAUUCCUGACUCAUGGAAAAUGUGACAUAAAUUUUUGUUGCUUUAAGCCACUAAACUUUGGGGAGAUUUAUUACAUAAAAGUAGAUAAUAAUGCAAUGUAAUAAUGUAGAUAAUGAGUAAUAGUAGCGUUGAAGUGAAAAAGUGUCAUAUGAACUUAUAAAACACAACUACUUUUGGAAUGAACCACAUGAAAUUGCUGAUUUUGUAGAUCACAUAUCAGCCAUAUGGCUCAAUCUUCCUUUUAAACUUUUAUUUUAGGUUUGGGGGUGCAUAUGAAAAUUUUGUUACAUAAACACAUGUCCCAGGGGUUUGUUGUACACACUAUUUCCUCAUCCAGCUAUUAAGCCCAGUAUCCAAUAGUUAUCUUUUCUGUUCCUCUCCCUCCUCUUUCUUCCCCCCUCGACUAGACCCCAGGGUCUGUUGUUUCCUUCUUUGUCUUCAUAAGUUCCUACCAUUUGGCUCCCACUUAUAAGUGAGAACAUGUAAUAUUUGGUUUUCUGUUCUUGAGUUAGUUUGCUAAGGAUAAUAGCCUCCAGUUCCAUCUAUGUUCCUGCAAAAGAGAUGAUCUAAUUCUUUUUUUAUGGUUGCAUAGCAUUCCAUGGUAUAUAUGUACCACAUUUUCUUUAUCCAAUCUGUCUUUAAUAGGCACUUAGUUUGAUUCCAUGUCUUUGCUAUUGUGAAUAGUGCUGUACUGAACAUUCACGUGCAUGUCUUUAUGGUAGAAUAAUUUCUAUUCCCCUGGGUAUAUAUGUAAUAAUAUGACUGCUGGGUUGAAUGAUAGUUGUACUUUUAGCUCGCUGAGGAAUCACUAUACUGCUUUCCACAAAGGUUGAAGUAAUUUACACUCCCAGCACCAGUGUAUAGGUGUUCCCAUUUUUCUGCAACCUCACAAGCAUCUGCUACUUUUUGACUUUUUAAUAAUAGCUAUUCUGAAUGGUAUAAGAUGGUAACUCAUUGUGGUUUUGAUUUGCAUUUCUCUAAUGAUCAGUGAUGUUGAGAUUUUUUUAACAUGCUUGUUGGAUGGCUGCAUGUGUGUCUUCUUUUGAGAAGUGUCUGUUCAUGUCUGAACACUUUUAAAUGAGGCUAUUUGUUUUUCUCUUGCAAAUUUUUAAGUUCCUUAUAGAUGCUGGAUGUUAGACCUUUGUCAGAUGCAUAGUUUUCAAAAAUUUCCUCUCAUUCUGUAGGUUGUUUUUCCUGUUGAUAGAUUCUUUUGCUGUGCAGAUGCUCUUAACAAUUAAUUAGAUCCCACUUUUCAACUUUUGCUUUUGCUGCAAUAGUUUUUGGUGACUUUGCCAUAAAAUCUUUGCCCAUUCCUAUGUCCAGGGUGGUAUUGCCUAGGUUGUCUUGUAGGGUUUUUAGUUGUGGGUUUUACAUUAAAGUAUUCAAUUCAUCUUGAGCUGAUUUUUGUGUAUGGUGUAUGGAACGAGUCCAGCUUCAGUCUUCUGCUUAUGGCUAGCCAGUUUUCCCAGCACCAUUUAUCGAAUAAGAAGUCUUUUCACCAUUACUUGUUUUUGUCAGCUUUGUUGACAAUCAGAUGUUCAUAGAUAUGUAGCCUUAUUUCUGGGCUUUCUAUCCUUUUCCAUUGGCCUAUGUGCCUGUUUUUGUACUAGUACCAUGCUGUUUUGGUUACUGUAGCCUUGUAGUAUAGUUUGAAGUCUGGUAAUAUGAUGCCUCCAGCUUUGUUCUUUGUGCUUAGCAUUGCCUUGGCUAUUUGGGCUCUUCUUUGGUUCCAUUUGAAUUUUAAAAUAGUUUUUUUUUUUUUUUUUAAUUCUGUGAAGAACAUCACUGGUAGUUUGAUACGAAUAGCAUUGAAUUUGUAAAUUGCUUUGGGCAGUAUAGCCAUUUUAAUUGUAUUGAUUCUUCCUAUUCAUGAGUGUGGGAUUCUUCUUCCAUUUGUUUGUGUCUUGUGUUAUUUCUUUGAGCAAUGUUUUGUAAUUCCCAUUGUAGAGAUCUUUCACCUCCCUGGCUAGCUGUAUUUCUAGGUUUUCUAGGUAUUUUAAUCUUUUUAUGGAAAUUGUAAGUAGAAUUGCCUUUCUGAUUUGGCUCUUGGUUUGGCUGUUGUUGGUGUCUAGGAAUGCUAAGUGAGUUUUGUACACUGACUUUGUAUCCUGUAACUUUGCUGAACUUGUUUAUCAGUGGGAGGAGCUUUUGGGCUGAUGCUAUGAGGUUUUCUAGAUAUAGUAUCAUGUUUUCUGCAAACAGAAAUAGUUUGACUUCCUCUCUUCCUAUUUGGAAGCCCUUUAUUCCUUUCUCUUGCCUGUUUACUCUGGUUAGGACAUCCAAUACUGUGCUGAACAAAAGUGGUGAGAGAGAGCAUACUUGUCCUGAGCUGGUAUUCAAGGGCAAUACUGGUAGCUUUUACCUAUUCAGUAUAAUGUUGACCGUGAGUUUGUCAUAGAUGGCUCUUAUUAUUUUGAGGUAUGUUUCUACUAUACCUAGUUUAUUUAGAGUUGUUAACAUGAAGGGGUGUUGAAUUUUAUCGAAAGCCUUUUUUUUUGCAUCUUUUGAGAUAAUCAUGUGGUUUUUUGUCUUUGGUUCCGUUUUUGUGAUGAAUCACGUUUAUCGAUUUGUGUCUGUUGAACCAACUUGCCUUCCAGGGAUGAAGCCUACUUGAUCAUAGUGGAUUAGCUUUCUGAUGUGCUGCUGAAUUUGGUUUGCAAGUAUUUUGCUGAGGAUUUCUGCAUUGAUGUUUAUCAAGGAUAUUGGGCUGAAGUUUUCCUUUUUUGUUGUGUCUUUGCCAGGUUUGGGUAUCAAGACAUUGUUGGACUCAUAGAAUGAGUUGGGGAGGAGUCCCUCCUCCUCAAUUUUUUAGAAUAGUUUCUGUAGGAAUGGUCAUGGUUUAACCUUACAUAUCAAAGCUCAACCAACUUGUUUCUUACAACUACAAUUUUUUAAAAUUGUAGCUAUAAUAAACUGAUUUGGACUGGGCUUUGGUCUCCUAGGAUGCAUUUCUGGAAUAUGUUUAUUAUUUUCCAAAUUUGCCAUUCUCCAAAUUAUGUAGGAAUACAGUUAUGAUUUUCUGACACAAUGCACUGAUGCAACAGUUGGAAACUAAUUAUUUGUGGAUUAUGGCUUGGUUUAGACAUAUAAAAGAUAAUUAUUAGCAAAUGUUUAUCAUUCUCUCAAAAGGUAUGUCAGUUUUGGACUUGGAACAAAUAUUCGAAUAAAUGAUGAAACAGGCUUUAAAUGUCUUACACAAUACUAAAUACCAAAAGCUAUUUCAUUCUUAUCCUUGGAAACACUGGAUGCAUGUUCUUAUGACAUCAUGUUUUCUUUGCACAAUAAAAAAAAAGGACAGCCAAACCAUCCAGUCUGUAAGUAUGUAAUUAUCUUUGAAUAUUCUCCUCAUUUAAGCACAUUAAAAUGCUUCAACUGGCCCAGGUUACACAAAAUUAUAUUCUUGAUAACUUACUAUCUUUUUUGGCACAACCUGUGCCACUUUCACAUGUCUGUUGAUGGUAAAUGUCAAGCUGUUGAGUGAGAAUUUAUUUCUGUUUCUAAUCUCCCUGGAGCUUUCACAUGUGUGCCUGAUUUAACACAAAGCUUUAUGUGUAACAUUUCCAGCACCCAAACACAACAAUUUCCACCUAUCUGUUUUAUUUUAGCUUUAAAGACAAAUAUUAAAUGGGAAAUAAUUUUUAAAAGGUACAUUUUACCCUGACUCCAAAUGCAAGAUUCUGCUAUUGUUUCACAGGGACUUUGUCAAAUUAUCUUUUAAAAAAAAUUCUGUGAGGCUAUGUCAGAUCUCAGCAAUGGUUAUAGGAUGCUUAUUUUCUUUGAAAAGAAGAAAAUUCCUGAUUUGCCAGUGCGAUUGCACUGUCAUCUUAGGGGUUUAUCGGGACCGGCAUAAAUGUAAUACUUUCUUCUUCUCAUGAUUACAUCUAGCAAAGCCCUGGUCAACAUCAGUAGUUAUUUUGGAGCAGAAAGGAACUCUUCACAAAUCCAAAGUUAGAAAUCACACUCCAUUUUCUAUCUUACCAGGGUAUGAACUUACCUAACUUCCUAGCAAGAGCUCAUAAUAUUGCCUGGGCCUUUAUCAGUGUGAUAAGGUUAGAAAAGAUCAUUGUUUCUAUUUCUGCUCAUUUCUAUUGCUUAAAAUUACUUUUAAGAGUUAAUAUGUAUUUCUAUUAUAUAAAUAUAUAAUUAUCAGUAAUUAUAUUUGUACUUAAUAUAUAAUGUAUAUGCUAUAAAUUAUAACUUUCUCUAAAUAAUAAAUCUGUCUGGCACAGUGAUACUAGAAGUAAUAUAUAAAGUUAUCAAUUGACUCUUAAUUUAGUUACAGAAAUCUUGAGUCUUUCCCUCACUUUCUUUUUAGAGCACUCAGCCUAUUUCUACAACAUCUACAGAAAAAUUUUAUGUGCUGAAACACUCAUUGCUAACUCAGAUGGGAAAAUUCUGAACUUCUUUAACUAUUGAAAACUGUAUAGCUUGGAUUUCCUUGAAAACAGAAUGCUACAUGAAAGGACAACAAAUCUUCUGGCAAUAACUCACAUUUAACAGGUUGAUACAGCAGAGCUAUCUUUCUAAACAACAAAUGUGUGAUCUAAUGGCAAUACCAACAGUGCACUGUACCAAGAAUUAGAAUGGUAUAUCAAAGCUUCUAAUUUGCAAUGGUUUGUUAUGGAGGUAUAAUUAUCUAUUUAAAAUGUAAAAUUCCUUGUACAAAAACAUUUGAAUAAUUAUGAAAAUGUAAGUAAUCCUUUGCAAAAACUAAUUAUGGUGAGGGAGACUUUCCUUUGCUGUCAGUGUUUUAUACAUGUGUUUGCUUCCAUAAGCAAACUAAUUAAAAUGUUGCAAGACACGCUGAAAUGCUGGCAUUUUAGAUGGAAAGCAGUUGUACUUCUGGCAAAGAUUGUUUCAUGUUUCUAAGGAAUUUUAAAAUUGUAGUUAUAAUAAACGAUUCAGUCAAGCAAACCUAAAACAAGAGCCAAAAUCAUGCUCUCAGCUUUCAGAUCUAUAGCCACAUGCCACCACAAAGCCGUGAAUUUUCUAAGUAUAAACUGGAAAUAAAUCACAUUUGUUUUGUUAGCAAACAUUUGGGGUAUGUAUGUGUGUGUUUGAUAAAACUGUGGUAAUUAUGCAGCUAAAAUAAGAAAGAACAAUUUGGAAGUCAUCUUAAUAUUUUGUGUUAUUCCCAUUAUUUGGAAAUCACUGGUCAAAUGGUGGGCAAAAUGUUUCCACCACAAAUAAGAAUGCUGUAGCACGACAGCUAAUAAGACAAAGAACUGUAUUAUGGCACCUCUUCAACAGCAAAUACUUGUCCUAAGAGCCUCGGAGGUAAAGGGCAGCUGCAGAAUGAUUAUCAGGAUUGCUUCAAGCUCCAGAUUGCAUUUGGAACAUGACAUGUCCAUCCUCUUCACUGUUGGGUCAAUCAGUCAUGCUUUGGGCAAGAUUUAUUGAGGUCGUCACUUUUACCAGUCACAGUGGUAAGAAGUAGAAUUUCAGUGAUAUAUGAGUGAGUUAUAGUGCAUACCUGCAUGGAUUUUACACUCCAAUCUUUUUAAAAGACAGUAUUUUGAUGAAUUAUGCACUCCAGGGCCAGACCACCUGGGCUUAAAUCUUGGCUUAUCUACUAACUAUCUGUCUGAAUUUAGGCUAGCUAACUAAUCUCUUUAGCAUGCUCAUCUGUGGAAUGAGAAUAACAGUCCUGCCUUAUGUAGUUGCUGUGAGAAUUAAAUGAGUUAACCUAUGUGUAAAUACAUAAUGCCCAGAAAUCAGUACAUUAUAUUGUUAUUAGCUACCAUUUUUACCUCCACUCUAACCAAGCAAUACCAUAAAUAUUGCCAAACAGACAACGCAAUAUCUAAUUCCACAGAAGAUAGAUGUCCAGUAGAAAUCAAAGAUCAGAAAAGCCCCUAGAAGGUAACUAGUAGCUGCGGGUAUCUGAAAGCCUUCACUAUUUGUUCUGCAGGCAAAACAUACAAACACAUUCUGGCUAUUAUCUAUGUUAAACAAGAUAGAAGACAUACAAAUAAUAGAUGACAGCAGCUGGAGGAGGUAGAAUAACCGUUUCUGUGAGUUAGAAGUAAAAUAGCAGUUUCAAAUUAUAUUAUCAUCAUCCAUCACAGCUAUCAUGUAUUCAACUCUUCCCGUGGUGCAAGUUACUAAGCUCUUUAAAUGUUACCCCAAUCAACCCAUUUUCCAUAGGAAGAGGAUGAAAUAGUUUAAAUCACUUUCCCAGGCUAUAUUAAUAGUUUGUGAUGAAGAUAUGACAAGAAUGGUCUCUCUGAAGCUAAAGUUCGAUUAUACUAUUUUGCAUUCCAUGUAAUAUGAUGACCAUGUUCCCAAGUCAUUACAUUUUCUUCACAAACAUGUUUUUAAAUAGCUUUAAAGUGUUCUAGUCUAUGGCUGUUUCAUAAUUGAUUUACUCUCUUCUGUCUUGUUAAAUAUUUAUGUUGUUUCUAGUCCCUUAGAUAUUUUGAAUUAUUUGCAAUAAAAAUCUUCAUGUGUAAAUCUUAGUAUGCAUAGCUGAUGAGUUUCAUAGUAUAAAUUCCAAGCAGCGAAGUCACUGGGCUAACGGAUUUGAACAUUUCUAAUUACCAAAUUGUACAAAUUGCCAAAUCACCCACAGGAAUAGUAUAGGAAUUUUCUCUCAUUUCAGAAAUUUUUGAGCUUGCUCAUUUAACUGCAUCCUUGCCAAUCCUGAAUCUGAUCUAAAAGUUUUCUUAUCAACAUGCCAGAUACACAAAUCUCCUAUAGAUUUAAUUUGUAUUUUUAUUUCCACUGUGGUACUUAGGGAAAAGAUAUCACCUAUGGAAAACAAAGCAUGUGAAUAAUACUUUGACAUUCAUAUCUGUCUCUGUCAGCCUCCUCCUUGCAUGCAAAUUUUGGUUUUCCCUUAACAGAAUGUUACAAAACUCCAAGCCCAAGUUUAAUUGUAACACUAUUUGGGAAGUUUCCUUGUUUAAGAAAAGUUUCUUAUCUUCCCUCAUCUCUGCACAUGCCAUUUUGUGAUAAUUUACUUCAUUGUGGUAAAAUUACUGAUUGUCUCUCUCUGGUCUCUCCUAAGUAAUAAGCUACUGGAAAACAAAUAAUCUUAUGAUUUGUUGGAUCUGUAGGAUCCAACCAAAGUAGUGAAAAGUCUCAUAAGCACAUUUAACUAUCACUUCCCACAAAAACAUACUGAUUCUAGAUUUUAAUCAAUUUUUCGCUGUUUGAUUAAACUAUGCAUUAAUUCAUCAUUAAUAAUGUAGUUGAUUAGGUACUUCGGAACACUUUAAAAACAUGAAUAAAAACAUCUAGUGGAAUUACUUUGUUCUAAAAGAGCUAAAUCUUGAGAAAAUGAAAAUUAAGUUUUGCUGGGAAUCACAAUGCAACGUUCCUUCCUACUAAUACAAAAACAUUCCUGCAGACCAUCUGAAGCAGAGAAAAAAAAUGGCUUCCAGUGGGACACUGUCAAGACCACAUAUAGCAUCCUUAUUCAUACAUAACGGUUCAGUGUUUCUGCCAUGGUUAUACCACAUGGUUAUACCACAGCUGAAAAAUGAGUAACAUCUCCUUUUUGUAUAAUUUCUGCUUUUUUCCAAUGCCAAACCAAUUCAUCAUGUCUCCUCAAUUAAGUUACUGGAUAUUAAGGUGCCCACCUGCUAAGCUGCUCUGCCUCACGAGUACCUAAUCUGGAGUUGGCUUCUCCUUUCCAAGACCCUUCUAAGAAUCAUUCAGCAUAAGCCCAAACCUACACAAAGUCCCUUCACAAACUUUCCUACUGAGAUCCUUCUAAAUUCUCUUACUGGGAUAUGGUUUUCCUUGCUGCAGCAAGCUAAACAAACCAAACUUUGACUACAGGUGUGUUCCUGGACAUCUGGUAGGCUUAGGUGUUAAUUGGGUCAUUAAACACAUAUAGAUCUACAUACUGUUUUUACUUAAACAGCAUUCAUCAACAAAUUGGAGAUAUGAUACAGGGAAAGUGAUAAGUUGAGAUUAUGCUAAAGUGUUAAUCCUGGAAACCUUAUCUAUUAUACUUUUUAAUUUUACUCACUGAAUUCUUUAGUUCCAGAAUUUAAAGGUUUUAAAAAUCAUAUCUAUCUUUGUUGAAUUUCUUGUUCAGAUCAUGAGUUGUUUUUCUGAAUUAUUUCUGUUGUUUAUCUGUAUUCUAUUGUAUCUCACUGAGCUUUUUUAUGAUCACCAUUUUACAUUUUUUUAGGCAUUUCAUAGGUUUCUCUUUCAUUGGAAUCUGUUCCUUCAGAGAUGUUAUGUUAGCUUGCUUUUUCAUGUUUCUUGUGUCCUUACUUUGAUAUCUGCAUAUCUGAUGUAAGUCACUUCUCCCAAUUUUCUGGACUGGCUUUUAUACGGAAAGACUUCUUACUAUAGAUGUAUCCAUAGUGCUGAUUGUGUAGGGUGCUUUAGCUUUGAUUUUUGGAUGGGCAUGGUAGUAUAGUCUCAGUAUGAUUUCUUCAGCUGUAAUAUACAUCAAUAGUUUCUAUGAUUUCCUCAGUUCCUUAGGCUGUAGUUGUUAGUGGAGGUGGUGGCGAGGCUUGGCUAUGUAUAGGUACUUUAGAUCAGCUGGUCAUUGGGCACUAGUGGCAACAGCAGUGGGCUGGGUGUGUAAACACUUGAGCCCUCAGAUGGCAUACAUGUGCAGUGACGUUAGUGGGUCCAGGUAGGCCAAUCCUCUUGCCUCCAGGCAACUUUCUUGGUGCCAGCAGUGACAGCAAUGGGCCAAAUAAGUGGAUAGGUCCUCAGGCCCCUGGGCAGUGUGCAUGACGUCAUUUAUAUCAGUAGCAUCAAUAAGCCAAACUUCAGGCCCCUAGGCAACAACACAGAGGUGCCAGCAGUGGGUUGGGCAGGCCAGACCUCAGGCCUCCAGGUAGCAUAUGUGGUAGGGGCCAAUGGUAUAGGUGUGUGAGGCUGGCUGAGAAGGCAUGCAUAGGUGCCAGUGGCAACAGGCCAUGUGGGUCAAUUCCUAGGCCCCCAUCAAUGCACACAGGCACUGGUAAGGGAGCACCUGGUGGGGAAGGGCUGUCCUCCAGACCCCCGAGUGUGAACAUGGGCACAGGCUACCGUGAGUGAGGCCAGUUUAUCCCCAGGAUCUCAGAUGACACGCUUGGGCACUGGCAGGCUAAGCUGACCCAUCUCCAGGCCCCCUGAAGGUGUGCACAGGUGUAGGUGGCAAUGAGUGAGGUGGGUCAAUCCCCAGGUCCCUGGGUGAUGUGCAUGAGUGCUGGUGUCAGUGAUGAGUGGGCAGGUCUUUCUUCAGGUCCUCUAAUGGUACAUGUGAGUGCCAGAUGUGGUGGGUGAGACAAGUCCAUCCCCAUACCCCCAAAUGACAUGCUCAAGCAGUGGUAGUUACAGUGGUAGGCAGGAGUGGCUUGUCCUCAGCUUCCAGAAUGGUACCCAAGAGGACCAUUCUCCAGAUUGCCAGAAGGCACAUUCAGGUGCAAAGAGCCCCUACUGCUCUUUGGUAGGGAGAUUUUGCUCUCAGUGUCAGCAGCGCCAGGCAAACAGAAGCUCUAGUGGGGAUACACUUUGGUUCUCUUUGUCCUAGGGGCAGCUUUCCCAGUGUGCUGCAUUGCCUAUACCUUGGGGUGUAGGAUACUGUGUGGGCUAGAGUGCCGGGGACCUGGCUGCACCACUGGGUCUAGGUGACAUUGUGAUGCUGCAGCCCUUUGGGUAGACACAGGGGAAUGUAAGCAAAGCUCAGGGAUGUGCAGGCGCAGGGGCUGUUGUGCCCCAGGGUAGGAUAUAAUCUGGUGGGCUGGCCUCUCAAAAUGGAGCUGUGCUAUAGCUACUUGGGACUCAGCGUGUGGGUGGGACCCAGUGCAAACUACCUCUCUGGAAUAAUGCCAUCAUGUGGACUCCCAGCAGCUUCCUUUACUAGUCUCAGGGUCCACAAGCAUCAAGGGACUCUUCCGUGGCUGCGAUGGCAGGAGUCAAUGGAGGGAAUGUGGACUGCUGGGUAUACUUCAUUUACCUUUUCCCCGCAGUGCAGUUUCUCCUGGCUCCAAGUGACCCUGACCAGGAUGGCCGCUUUAUUUCCUUCAUUUUCCAUGUCUCAGAGGCUCCCUGUCACUUCUCGGCUAAAUUUCAGUGUUCUCUCUCAGAGGCUCUAUUCAAAGUGUGGUUGUCUACUUACUGUUUUGGUCCUUUGUGGAAGAAAUAAAUGCCGGGUGCCAUCUAGUCACCUCUCCUGAAACUCACAUUUUGAUAGAAUAAUCUAUUAUUCUAUUAGUUUAAUGAGUGAGCACUCACUGUCACACAUUUAUUUCUCACAGAUGUUUCAGUCUGGUUAGCAUAGUUGCAGUUGUUCAGACUUAAACUUACAUAAAAUUUUUAAAAAUCACUUCUCAUUCAAAAGCAUUUUAUAUUGGAAAGUGUAAUUUUCGUUGCCAAGAAUAGGAACCCGCCUAAAACUUUUAAAUACUAUCUUAACCUUAGUUAUGAAGAUGUCUAUUCCAUCAAAGGAUAAGAAGGAUUAGCACAUUCAUUCAUAUUUCUAUUGGAAAAAAAGAAGUAAUUAAUUUAUUGCUUCUCUGUCCAAGUAAUUAAGCAAUAACUUAUUCUGGCAUCCUUGUCAACUGAUAGCAAUUGAGUUUGUUUCCAAACCACAAAUAUAAAUAUAAACCAAAUCUAUUUUAGCUUUUUGAGAGAUUAAACCAAUGUUAUUUAAACUUUAUUUCUUAAUGAAACCAUCAAAGGAACAGCUUUAAAAAAAACUAAUUUUUUUCAAUAGCAAAGACUUGGAACCAACCCAAAUGUCCAACAAUGAUAGACUGGAUUAAGAAAAUAUAGCACAUAUAAACCAUGGAAUACUAUGCAGCCAUAAAAAAGGGUGAGAUCAUGUCCUUUGUAGGGACAUGGAUGGAGCUAGAAACCAUCAUUCUCAGCAAACUACUGCAAGGACAAAAGAUGAAGAAAAACUAUGUGAUAUAUGUGACACCAUAAAAUGACUAAAUAUUCUCAUUCUGGGCAUCACAGAAGGAGAAGAGAUGGGUGAAGGCAAAGAGAAACUAUUUUAAAAAAUAACAGCUAACAGGUUCUUAAGUUUGGAAGAGAUACACACAUCCAGACACAAGAAACUCAAAAAUCCCCAAAUAGAUUCAACCCAAAAAGGUCUUAUCUAGGCCAGGUGUGGUGGCUCAUGCCUGUAAUUCCAGCACUUCGAGAGGCUGAGACAGGCAGAUCACGAGAUUAGGAGAUUGAGACCAUCCUGGCUAACACAGUGAAACCCCGUCUCUACUCAAAAUACAAAAAAUUAGCCCGGUGUGGUGGUGGGUGCCUGUAGUCCCAGCUACUCAGGAGGCUGAGGCAGGAGAAUGACGUGAACCUGGGGGGCGGAGCUUGCAGUGAGUGGAGAUCACACCGCCACACUCCAGCCUGGGAGACAGAGCGAGACUCCAUCUCAAAAAACAAACAGACAAACAAACAAACAAAAAAACAACAAGAAAAGGCCUUAUGUAAGGCACAUUGUAGUUAAACUGUCAAAGUGACCUCUGGUCGUCCUCACUGCUACACUCCCACCAGUGCCAUGACAGUUUACAAAUGCCAUGGCAAUGUCAGGAAGUUACCCUAUACGGUCUAAAAAGGGGAGGCAUGAAUAAUCCACCCCUUGUUUAGUGUAACAUCAAGAAAUAAUAUGCCCAUAGAAAUGGGCAACCAGCAGCCUUUGGGGGUUGCUCUGUCUAUGGAGUACCCAUUAUUUUAUUCCUUUACUUUCUUAAUAAACUUGCUUUCACUUUGAAAAAAUAAUCAAAGACAAAGAAUUCUAGAAACAGCAAGGGAAAAGCAUCAAGUCACAUGUAAAAGAACCUCCAACAGACUAAUAGCAGAUUAAUAGCAGAAACCUUACAGGCCAGGAGAGAAUGGGAUAAUAAAUUCAAAGCGCUGAAAGAAGAAAAAAAAACUUAUUAAUUAAGAAUAGUAUACUUAGGAAAUCUAACCUUGAAAAAUUAAAAGUGAGUCUUUCCCAGACAAGCAAAAACUGAGAGAAUUCAUUACAAUUAGACCAAUCCUAAAAGAAAUAUUUAAGAGAUUUUUUUUUUUUUUUACAUCAGGAAGUGUAAGGAAAAUUAUCUGCCAUCAUAAAAAUAUAAAAUAAAAUAAAAUUCACUUGCAGAGCAAACAAAUUAGUAAGAUUAAGGAAUCAAAGGUUACCAAAUGUUAUAUAAAAUCAAUGAACUGCAAUGAAAAACAAUAAGAGAGGAAAAAAGGAACAAAAGGUAUACAAAAUAACCAGAAAGCAAUUAACAAAAGGAUAGGAAUAAGUCGUCACCUACCAAGAAUAGUCUUGAAUAUAAACAGACUAAAUUCCCUACUUAAAAGAUAUAGAUUAGCUGAAAGGAUUUUUUUUUUAAGCAACAAUAUGCUGCCUACAAGAAACUCACCUCACUGGUAGACACAUAUAGACUGAAAGUGAAGAAAUGGAGAAAGAUACUCUGUGCAAACGGAAACCAAAAACAAGCAGGAGUAUACUGGCAUCAGAUAAAACAAACUUUAACUCAAAAACAGUAAAAAGAGACAAAGAAGUUCAUUAUAUAAUAAUAAAGAGAUCAAUUCAUCAAGAGGAUAUAACAAUUGUAAAUAUGUAUGUACCCAAUACCAAAGCAGCCAGAUUUAUAAAACAAAUACUACUGGAUAUAAAGAGAGAAGUAGAGUCCAAUUUCAAUUUUAGUUGGGUACUUCAAUACUCCACUCUCAGCACUAGACAGAAAAUCAACAAAGAAACAUUGGAUUUAAACUGCACAUUACACCAAAUGGAUCUAACAUUUACAGAACAUUUCCUCCAGCAGCUGCAGAAUACACAUUCUUCUCAUUAGCAUAGGAAACAUUCUUUAGGAUAAACCAUAUGUUAGGACACAAAAUAAGUCUCAAUUUAAAAAAAAUCUAAAUCCUAUAAAGUAUUUUUUCAGACCACAUUAGAAAACAAAGGACACUUGAAAACUCUAUAAAUAAAUGAAAAUUAAACAUAUUCCUGAAUGACUAUUGUGUCAAAAAAGAAAUUUUUAAAUAUCAAAAAAAUUAUUGAAACAAAUGAAAAUGGAAAUAUAACAUACUAAAACCUAUGUAAUACAGCAAAAGCAGUAAGAGGGAAGUUUAUCACAGUAAAUGGCUAUAUCAAAGAAGGAGAUUUCAAAUAAACAAUCUUGUAACAAUGUAGCUCAAGGUACUAGAAAAAUAAGAGCAAACGAAACUCAAAAUUAGGAAAAGGAAAUAAAUAAUACAAAUUAGAGCAGAACUAAACAAAAUAAAGACUUAAAAAACACACACAAAGAUAAUGAAAUGAAAAGUUGAUUUUCAGAAAAGAUAAAUAAACUUAAUGCACUGCUAGCUCAACUAACCAAUACCACAAAAGACCCAAAUCAAUAAAAUCAAAAUUUAAAAAAGAGUCAUUACAACUGAUAUCACAGAAAUACGAAGAAUCAUUAGAGGAUAUGAUGAACAAGUACAUGCUAACAAAUUGGAAAACUUAGAGCAAACGGAUAAAUUCCUGGACUCACACAACCUACCACAAUUGGAGCAGGAAUGAACAAACCAAUAUCAAGAAGCAAGAUUGAACUGGUAAUAAAAAGUCUUCCAAAAAAGAAAAUUCUAGGACUAAACAGCUUUACUGCUGACCUCUACCAAACUGUUAAAUAAGAACUAACAAAAACUCUUCUCAAUCUAUUCCAAAAAUUGAAGAGAAGGGAAUUCUUUCUAACUCAUUUUAUGAGGCCAGCAGUACCCUGAUAUCAAAACCAGACAAAGGCACAACAACAACUACAACAACCAAAUUCUGCACAUCAAUAUCCUUAAUGAACAUAGACACAAAAAUCUUCAGCAAAAUACUAGCAAACUGAAUUCAGCCACACUUCAAAAAGAUAAUACACCAGGAUCAAGUGAUAUUUAUCCCAGGGUUGCAAGAUUUGUUCAACAUACACAAAUCAAGAAACAUGAUACAUUACAUUAACAGAAUGAAGAACAAAGCCAUAUGAUUACCUCAACAGAUGCAGAAAAAUUCAACAUUCCUUCAUGAUAAAAUGUCUCAACAAAUUAGGCAUAUAAGAAACAUAUCUCAACAUAAUAAAGGUCAUAUAUGACUAACUCACAGCUAAUAUGCUGAAUGGGGAAAAGCUGGAAGCCUUUCCUCUAAGAACUGGAAUAAGAAAAGGAUGCCCACACUUACCACUCUUACUCAGCGUGGUACUAGAAGUCCUAGCCAGAGUAAGACAAAGAAAAGGCAUUCAGAUUGGAAAAGAACUCAAAUUGUCCUUCUUUGCGGAUGACAUAAUAUUACAUAUUAAAAACAAAAUCUAAAUAUUCCACCCAAAUCUCUUAGAACUGACAAAUGAAUUCAGCUAACUUGCAGGAUACAAAAUCAACAUACAGAAAUCAAUAGCUUUUCUAUAUAUCAAUAAUGAACUAGCCAAAACAGAUAUAAAUACCACAAUUUCAUUUACAAGAGCUGCAAAAAAGCAUAAUUCCUAUGAAUAAAUUUAAUCAGGAGGUAAAAGACCUCUACAAGGAAAGCAGCAAAACAUUCAUGAAAGAAAUUAAAGAGGACACUAACAAAUGGAAAGACAUCUUAUGCUCAUGGAUUGGUAGAAUUACUAUUUUUAAGAAAGACCAUAGUACCAAAGGUAUUCUCUAUACUCGAUGCAAUCUUUUUCAAAAUACCAAUGUUUUUUACAGAAAUAAAAAAAAAAAAAAAACCUAAAAUUUGGCCAGGUGCUGUAGUUCACCCCUGUAAUGUCAGUACUUUUGGAGGCCAAGUUGAGUGGAUCACUUGAGGCCAGAUGUUCAAGCCAAGCCGAGCCAACAUGAUGAAACUAUGUCUCUACUAAAAAUACAAAAAUUAGCCAGGCAUGAUGGCAGGCACCUGUAAUCUCAGCUACUCAGGAGGCUGAGGUGGGAGAAUUGCUUGAACCUAGGAGGCAGAGGCUGCAGUGAAUCGAGAUUGUGCACUGCACUCCAGCCUGGGCAACAAAGCAAGACUCCAUCUCAAAGAAAAAAAAAAAUAAAAAAGAAAAAAUCCUAAAAUUCAAAUAGAACCACAAAAGACCCCAAAUAGUCAAAGCAAUCCUGAGUGAAAAGAACAAAGCUGGAGGCAUUAUACUACCUGACUUCAAAAUAUACUAUAAAACUAUAGUAACUAAAACAGUACAGUAUGGUGUUGAUAUAAAAACAGACACAUAAACUAACGGAACAAAAGAGAGAACCCAGAAAUAAAUCCACAUAUUUAUAGCCAACUGAUUUUCAACAAAGGCACUAAGAAUGCCUGUUGGGGAUAGGAUACCCUGUUCAAUAAACAGUACUGGGAAAGCUGGAUGUCCAUAGGCAGAAGAUCCCUAUCUCUCAGCAUAUUCAAAAGGCAACUCAAAUUUAAAUACUUAAAUGUAAGACUCAAUACUACAAAAUUAGAAAAAAACAUAGGGGAAAUGCUGCAGGACAUUGGUCUAGGCAAAGGUAUUAUGGCCUAGACUUCAAAAGCACAAGCAACAAAAACAAAAAUAGACAAAUGAGAUUAUACUAAACUAAAAAGCUUUUGCACAACAAGAGAAACAAUCAAGAGUAAAGAGACAACCUGUGGAAUGGGAGAAAAUGUUUGCAAAUUAUUCAUCUGACAAAAGGCAAAUGUUCAGAAUACAAGCUGGGAGCUCCUUAGGGCAAACCUGCCUCCCAUUCUAUUCCUAAAAAUGAAGGAAUAGAAGCUGUGAAGAUAAAAAUGUUACAUACCUCCCUCACAAGGAAUUUCCUUGUGGACAAAGGACAGACAGAACUCAAAGUUAUCCUUCUGCUCACUGAGAUAAAUGCAUAUCUGAUUGCCUCCUUUGGAAAGGCUUAUCAGAAACUCAAAAGAAUGCAACCUUUUGUCCUUAUCUACCUAUUGCCUGGAAGCCCCUUCCCUGUUUUAAGUUGUCCCGCCUUUCAGGACAGAACCAAUGUACAUCUCACAUAUAUUGAUUGAUGUCUCAUGUCUCCCUAAAAUGUAUAAAACCAAGCUGUGCCUUGACCACUUUGGGCACACAUCAUCAGGACUUCCUGAGGCUGUGUCACAGAUGGGUAUCCUUAGCUUUGGCAAAAUAAACUUCCUAAAUUGACUGAGACCUGCCUUAGAUAUUUGGGGUUAAUACAAGGAACUCAAACCACUCAGCAGCAAAAAAAAAAAAAAAAAAAAAAAAAAAGCAGAUAAUCCCAUUAAAAAGUGGGCAAAGAAUGUGAAUAGACAUUUCUCAAAAGAAGACAUACAAAUGGCCCACAGGUACCUGAAAAAACGUUCAACAUCACUAUACACUACAGAAAUACAAAUUAAAACCACAAUGAGAUAGCAUCUUAUCCUAGUUAGAAUGGCUAUUAUUAAAAAGACCAAAAAAAUAACAAAUUCUGACAAGGAUGUAGAUUAAAGGGAACUCUUAUACACUGUCAGUGGAAACACAAAUUAACACAGCCAUUAUGGAAAACAGUGUGGAGUUUUCUCAAAAAACUAAAAAUAGAAUAAGGGAAAUCUAUUGUUCAAUAGUGUAGCAGGGUAACUAUUGUUAACAACAAUGUAUUAUAUAUUUUUAAAUAGCUAUAAGAAAAGAUUCGAAAUAUUUUCAACACAAAUAAAUGUUAGAGGUGAUAGAUAUCCUAAAUACCCUGAUUGGACCAUUGCACAAUUACGCACGUAUCAAAAUAGCACAUGUAUCCCAUAAGUAUGUAUAAUUAUUAUAUAUCAAUAAGAAUUAAAAUGAAAUAUUCGCACCUCAUUAUAUUCUCGCACCUCAUUAUACCCACUUAAGGAACUGUCCUCUUUAAGCUCCCCUUUGAAAAUAAAGCAUAGUAAAGGAAGGAUCCAUUACACAACCUUUAGAAUCCUAAGUGUGAAAUAUUAAGUGAUAUUAGUUUACUGAAAAUCCUUAUGUCUUUGUUCUAAUAGGCAUUUGUAGAAACGUGAAUGAGCUUCAGAGUAUUUAAAAGGAACAGGAAAAUAUAGAUACUAAAGGUCAUUAUUUUUGAGUCUGUCUUCAUCUCUAAGCACUAUUCACAGAUAUUUAAAGUUCUGAAAGUUUUCUUUUUCCCUCUCUCUCUCUCUCACUCUUGAAUGUGUUUUUCGAGCUUUGACUAUAAACGUAAAAAGAAAGAAUAGCAGCUUUUAUGUAUUUAAAUACAGUCCAAGGUAGUCACUCACCUCCUGGUUCUAAUUUCAUAUGAUGAUCUGGGCUUAGAUCACUCUUCAACCUUUAGAUAAGUUUUUAAAAACAGAGGCAAAAUGAACACAUUUUAGAUAAACCUAUGCAGUUUUAACUUUUGAGAAGAGGAGGGAAAGGAACUUAACUACUUAGUGAACCUGUGGUAAGACAAAUUGUCAUCCUUGUUGAUCUCCAUUACGAAAAAGUCAAUUGCAAAUGGUUUUGUAUUUCCUAGUUGUACAAAAAUCUGGGUCUGUGUUUCUACAUGUUUUUCAACUAAUAAAAAGCUUGUAAAAUUAGAAAUGUUCAUGACAUGCUAUUUCAAAUUUAUAACUCUGGGAAAAUACAGGUGUUUCCAGAAAUGAUUUUGAAGUGAUCUUUUAUGAUUAUAUACAAAUGACUUGGUAUAAUUAUCUCCUUUUGAUUAUAGUAAUAAAUGAAGAAUAGGAAAAGAUAGGAAAGAUAAAAAGUCGAAUCACAGAUGGAAAAUGGACAAUAAAGUAUCAAAAAGUUCAUUACAGAAAGAAGAGAAAGUAGGAAUAAAUUGGAAAAGAAAAUAGAAGAGAUAUUAAGAAAUAAUGCCUUUAUUUUUGGCAAUACAGCAUAUUAGAUUUGCUGAAAAGCUUUUUUUGUGAAAACAAUAAAAA
Symphalangus syndactylus (siamang) is the source of this 26078-nucleotide long non-coding RNA. RefSeq lists it as uncharacterized. Lineage: Eukaryota; Metazoa; Chordata; Mammalia; Primates; Hylobatidae. The record is from RefSeq and is a predicted model, not a curated record.